UACGAAGGGGACUAGCGUUGUUCGGAUUUACUGGGCGUAAAGCGCGCGUAGGCGGAUCGCUAAGUCAGGGGUGAAAUCCCAGGGCUCAACCCUGGAACUGCCUUUGAUACUGACGGUCUGGAGAUCGGGAGAGGUUGGUGGAAUUCCGAGUGUAGAGGUGAAAUGCGUAGAUAUCUGGAGGAACACCGGUGGCGAAGGCGGCAUCCUGGACCAACACUGACACUGAGGAGCGAAAGCCAGGGGAGCAAACGGG
This 253-nucleotide ribosomal RNA is filed under the name uncultured bacterium. RNAcentral's name for it is "partial 16S ribosomal RNA". It matches the Rfam family "Bacterial small subunit ribosomal RNA", at positions 524 to 776 of the family's 1533-position model. The record is from RNAcentral.